This is a long non-coding RNA of Mauremys mutica (yellowpond turtle), 631 nucleotides long. RefSeq lists it as uncharacterized. NCBI's taxonomy places the organism in Eukaryota, Metazoa, Chordata, Testudines, Geoemydidae. The transcript is spliced from 3 exons. The record is from RefSeq and is a predicted model, not a curated record.
CCCGAAUUGGGCUCGUCAACUCAUCAGACACCUGACUAGACAUUUUACAUCUACACCAUGAUCCAGUAGAUCAACAGUUGCUUAUAGGAUUAUGGCACUCUAGUAUUUGUGGUCCCAGAAAUAUCUGUCUGGGUAUGCAGAUAUCAGAUGAUGAUGACUACUAGUAGCUGAACUCUGGAUAUGUAUUUCCUAUUAAAUUAGAUGUCAUCACUGUGCAGUGCUUUAGGAGUCGUCUUCCUCUGUCCUUGAAAGAAAUGCUGAGGAGUUAUAGGCCAAUGAAGUUCAGCAGCUCUGGAUUUGCAACUAGACUCAUCUUACCCAACUGUAAGAGACCCAAGAUGAAGAUCAUCAUAUAAAUGAAUAGAAACAGCAGGUUCUUAGUUGAUUGUGCCUCUCCAGGAGGAGACAACACCAGUGAAAGCUUAAAUGACACUCUAUGGGCGAGUUUGGAGAACUGAAAUUCAGAUGGGCCUAUUGCAUAGGAGAUGACCAAAUUGAUAAUUGAAAGAAUCACUUUUCAAAAGCAGAUGAAAUAGCGAGCUAUUGUCUACAAUACAAAGCUAAGAAUGUAUGUAAUAUUAACCAGUUUCUGUUCAGCAAUUAUCUGAAGAGGAGACUUCUCUUUUUACCC